UAUACGACCGUACCGCAAACCGACACUGGUGCGCGAGAUGAGUAUUCUAAGGCGCUUGAGAGAACUCAGGAGAAGGAACUCGGCAAAUUGACACCGUAACUUCGGAAGAAGGUGUGCCCUAUUAGUGUGUAGUGAACAACGAAGCAUGAAUGGGUUGCAAAAAAUCGGUGGCUGCGACUGUUUAUUAAAAACACAGCACUCUGCAAACACGAAAGUGGACGUAUAGGGUGUGACGCCUGCCCGGUGCUGGAAGAUUAAAUGAUGGGGUGCAAGCUCUUGAUUGAAGUCCCAGUAAACGGCGGCCGUAACAAUAACGGUCCUAAGGUAGCGAAAUUCCUUGUCGGGUAAGUUCCGACCUGCACGAAUGGCGUAACGAUGGCCACACUGUCUCCUCCUGAGACUCAGCGAAGUUGAAAUGUUUGUGAUGAUGCAAUCUCCCCGCGGAAAGACGGAAAGACCCCAUGAACCUUUACUGUAGCUUUGUAUUGGACUUUGAACAGAUCUGUGUAGGAUAGGUGGGAGGCUUUGAAGCAGGGUCGCUAGAUCUUGUGGAGCCAACGUUGAAAUACCACCCUGGUGUGUUUGAGGUUCUAACCUAGGUCCAUUAUCUGGAUCGGGGACAGUGCAUGGUAGGCAGUUUGACUGGGGCGGUCUCCUCCCAAAGCGUAACGGAGGAGUUCGAAGGUACGCUAGUUACGGUCGGACAUCGUGACGAUAGUGCAAUGGCAUAAGCGUGCUUAACUGCGAGACUGACAAGUCGAGCAGAUGCGAAAGCAGGACAUAGUGAUCCGGUGGUUCUGUAUGGAAGAGCCAUCGCUCAACGGAUAAAAGGUACUCUGGGGAUAACAGGCUGAUACCGCCCAAGAGUUCAUAUCGACGGCGGUGUUUGGCACCUCGAUGUCGGCUCAUCUCAUCCUGGGGCUGUAGCCGGUCCCAAGGGUAUGGCUGUUCGCCAUUUAAAGAGGUACGUGAGCUGGGUUUAAAACGUCGUGAGACAGUUUGGUCCCUAUCUUCCGUGGGCGCUGCAGAUUUGAGGAAGCCUGCUCCUAGUACGAGAGGACCGGAGUGGACACACCUCUGGUGUAUCGGUUGUCACGCCAGUGGCAUUGCCGAGUAGCUAAGUGUGGAAGAGAUAACCGCUGAAAGCAUCUAAGCGGGAAACUCGUUUCAAGAUGAGAUCUGCCGGGGCCUUGAGCCCCCUAAAGAGUCGUUCAAGACCAGGACGUUGAUAGGUCAGGUGUGGAAGCGAAAAAAAUAAAAAAAA
This 1264-nucleotide ribosomal RNA is filed under the name metagenome. Its description in RNAcentral is "bacterial LSU rRNA". It matches the Rfam family "Bacterial large subunit ribosomal RNA", at positions 1635 to 2894 of the family's 2925-position model. The record is from RNAcentral.